UGAGUACACGUAUCCAACCUGCCGUCUACUCUUGGACAGCCUUCUGAAAGGAAGAUUAAUACAAGAUGGCAUCAUGAGUCCGCAUGUUCACAUGAUUAAAGGUAUUCCGGUAGACGAUGGGGAUGCGUUCCAUUAGAUAGUAGGCGGGGUAACGGCCCACCUAGUCUUCGAUGGAUAGGGGUUCUGAGAGGAAGGUCCCCCACAUUGGAACUGAGACACGGUCCAA
Molecule: ribosomal RNA, 226 nt
Filed under: uncultured bacterium
Lineage: Bacteria
Description: partial 16S ribosomal RNA
Rfam family: Bacterial small subunit ribosomal RNA
Source: RNAcentral